CUCUGAGAUACCACCUCAGGGACAGAAGUGCUUGCUCAUGAAGCCCAGGGUCUGGUGGAAAUGUUCUUUGAGACCUUGUCAUUUGUUUGAAUGGUGAGCAUUCCAAGAUGAGAUGUAGAGGCCCCUGUUUUUCCUUGCCCCCAAACCUGUUCUUCGUACAGGAUGAGAGAGUCCCUCCUGCCCUCAGCCCCCCCCCCCACACACUUCCCUUUGGGGGAAGCCCUUCUCUAUCUCCUAGUUCCUGUCAUUUUGACAGUGCUCAGUGCAAGCCUGGCCGCUGAUUGCACUUUUUCCCGAGUUCAUCCAAGUUCAUACGAGGAAAAGCUGUCUGCAAGAGCAGCAGAUUUCCAUGGAUUCCAGGAUUCAGAAUUCCGUGGAUUGCCAGCAGAUCUCAGAUGGGGCCACACCAGCACUUCGACUGCACACAGCACAACUGAGCCCAGGAUUGGUGGGCAUCUCCAGAUCUCUAGUUGCCUCUUAACCCAGAAAGCACAAAUUCGGAGUGCCAUUACAGAUGAUGUGUCUUCAAAUAAAAUACUCAGAUUUAAUCAGUGUAUGUAAAAAAAAAAAAAAAAAAUCUGAUAAGAUUCUUAAAAGCACAUAUAUCUCAGGUCUUACCCAAACCUUAGGCAACAUACCCUUUUACAGGUUGAGCCCAGGGAUUUUUCUGAUAAAUUUUCCAAUGUGUUGGUGAUCUUCACAUCUGAUUAAGAUUAUCUGGCAUAUUCUCUUGGUACAUGUGGCUCAGCAAAGCAAAAAGAGGUCCACUUUACUCUGGGACCAG
This 784-nucleotide long non-coding RNA is filed under the name Mustela putorius furo (domestic ferret). RNAcentral describes it as "lncRNA (ENSMPUG00000029213.1)". Lineage: Eukaryota; Metazoa; Chordata; Mammalia; Carnivora; Mustelidae. The record is from RNAcentral.